AAUCGCAAUGGCCGCUCAGGACCUUCAGCAUGGUUUCUGUUACUUGCUCGAGUUGUGUGAUGAAUGCCGUCAGAGCCUUCGGCUGCCAGGAAGUCAGAUGGAUAGUCUGCUAUAUUUCCACGUCACUGUUAUUAUGCUGAGGUGUCAUGUUGCCUCCAUUUUCUGCUUCAUCAUUACCAGCUGCAAAAUCCGGUGAACUCUGCAGGUAGACCAGUUCAUUCUCCCUCACGGGCCUAAUGUCAAUAUCUUUGGGUACCAGUUGCUUGCG
Molecule: long non-coding RNA, 268 nt
Organism: Syngnathus acus (greater pipefish)
Lineage: Eukaryota; Metazoa; Chordata; Actinopteri; Syngnathiformes; Syngnathidae
Exons: 3
Source: RefSeq, a predicted model, not a curated record